Molecule: long non-coding RNA, 470 nt
Filed under: Glycine max (soybean)
Lineage: Eukaryota; Viridiplantae; Streptophyta; Magnoliopsida; Fabales; Fabaceae
Description: long non-coding RNA (GMAX_LNC003054)
Source: RNAcentral
CUCUAUAAGCUUCUUUUCAAUCUCUUCAAGCUUCUUUCCAAACCUCUUAAAUGCCUCUAAUGGACCGGCAUCAGAAGUCCAGUAGUCACCACCAUCUCUCUGCCCAAGGUAGAACUCAUCAGAUGCGUGCCUUGACAAGAUUUCUAUAACUGUAAGGUCAAUGAGGGUCUCCUUCUUGCCAGUAAUAGUCUUCAAAAACUCCUUCUCAGGGUUCUUAGCCAACGCAUCAUAUUCAGGAGACCCCUUUUCAGGCAUGAAUCUCCUGCUAAUAGUUGGCCUGUUUAGGAUUAAACCUCCAUAUGGAUACUGUCCAAAGUUAACAGCAGCAUGAAGGGCUGAAGCAAUCCAUAUGAGGAUAGCGGAAGCUUCAACCAACUCUUCACGAGUUUGCAUCUUUUGCCACCAUGGCUUAUCUUUCAAAUCACCAUGACCCACCUCUACAAGUUCUUUCCACCAAGCUUGGAGUUCAG